CCUACGGGAGGCAGCAGUGAGGAAUAUUGGUCAAUGGGCGCGAGCCUGAACCAGCCAAGUCGCGUGAGGGAUGACGGCCCUACGGGUUGUAAACCUCUUUUGCCGGGGAGCAACGGGCGCCACGUGUGGCGCCACUGAGAGUACCCGGAAAAAAAGCAUCGGCGAACUCCGUGCAAGCAGCCGCGGUAAUACGGAGGAUGCGAGCGUUAUCCGGAUUGAUUGGGUUUAAAGUGUGCGUAGGCGGAUCGUUAAGUCAGUGGUCAAAUUGAGGGGCUCAACCCCUUCCCGCCAUUGAAACUGGCGCUCUUGAGUGGAAGAGAAGUAUGCGGAAUGCGUGGUGUAGCGGUGAAAUGCAUAGAUAGCACGCAGAACCCCGAUUGCGAAGGCAGCAUGCCGGCUUCCGACUGACGCUGAAGCACGAAAGCGUGGGGAUCGAACAGGAUUAGAUACCCUUGUAGUC
Molecule: ribosomal RNA, 460 nt
Filed under: uncultured bacterium
Lineage: Bacteria
Description: partial 16S ribosomal RNA
Rfam family: Bacterial small subunit ribosomal RNA
Source: RNAcentral